GAUGAACGCUGGCGGCGUGCCUAAUACAUGCAAGUCGAGCGAACAGACGAGGAGCUUGCUCCUCUGACGUUAGCGGCGGACGGGUGAGUAACACGUGGAUAACCUACUUCUAAGACUUGGAUAAUUUCGGGAAACCGGAGCUAAUACUGCCUAAUAUAUUCAACCGCAUGGUUCAAUAGUGAAAGACGGCUUUGGUGUCACAUAUAGAUGGAUCCGCGUCGCAUUAGCUAGUUGGUAAGGUAACGGCAUACCAAGGCAACGAUGCGUAGCUGACCUGAGAGGGUGAUCGGCCACACUGGAACUGAGACACGGUCCAGACUCCUACGGGAGGCAGCAGUAGGGAAUCUUCCGCAAUGGGCGAAAGCCUGACGGAGCAACGCCGCGUGAGUGAUGAAGGUCUUCGGAUCGUAAAACUCUGUUAUUAGGGAAGAACAAAUGUGUAAGUAACUAUGCACGUCUUGACGGUACCUAAUCAGAAAGCCACGGCUAACUACGUG
RNAcentral lists this ribosomal RNA (497 nucleotides) under uncultured bacterium. RNAcentral describes it as "partial 16S ribosomal RNA". It matches the Rfam family "Bacterial small subunit ribosomal RNA", at positions 28 to 507 of the family's 1533-position model. The record is from RNAcentral.